ACUCCUACGGGAGGCAGCAGUGGGGAAUUUUGGACAAUGGGGGCAACCCUGAUCCAGCCAUGCCGCGUGAGUGAAGAAGGCCUUCGGGUUGUAAAGCUCUUUCGGCCGGGAAGAAAUCGCACCUUUUAAUAGAGGGUGUGGAUGACGGUACCGGACUAAGAAGCACCGGCUAACUACGUGCCAGCAGCCGCGGUAAU
This 197-nucleotide ribosomal RNA is filed under the name uncultured bacterium. Its description in RNAcentral is "partial 16S ribosomal RNA". It matches the Rfam family "Bacterial small subunit ribosomal RNA", at positions 335 to 524 of the family's 1533-position model. The record is from RNAcentral.